GAAAAGUACUAAACAUAUUUGAAGAGCAGUUAUAUGCUGAAUGAGUGAUAGAUUCAGGGAUGACUUGAAGCUGGAACUGCUCAAGAACAGCUUCCCAAUGAGGUGUGACCUUCUCUCUGGGAGUGUCCAGGUCUGCACUGGGUGGGGGGGUUGAACAAGAGAGAGGCUAAGUGUGAGAAAGGAUGGGAUGAAAAGGAAAAUGACUUUUACUGAGCAUCUGCUACAGAUUGGUUUCUAUGCUGCAAAGCUGAGAUUAAAAAUCAAAAUAAGUUCUGCAAUGAACUAAAGCUGGUAAGAGUUGGAGCUGAGACCCGAAUCCAGGACUUCCUGGCUCUGGAGCACAAAUUUGAAGCAGCCUUCUUCACCUGCAGGAGCCAGGCCUGCAUCAGUCACCUGUUUAUAAGGCCAGCAAGUCUGAUCACCUCUUGCAAUCAACAAACAGGUUUCCAUGGAGGCAGAAGGAAGAUAAGGUUGGAG
Molecule: long non-coding RNA, 477 nt
Filed under: Homo sapiens (human)
Lineage: Eukaryota; Metazoa; Chordata; Mammalia; Primates; Hominidae
Description: non-protein coding lnc-ANKRD36C-2:1
Source: RNAcentral